CCUACGGGAGGCAGCAGUGGGGAAUAUUGGUCAAUGGACGGAAGUCUGAACCAGCCAUGCCGCGUGCAGGAAGACGGCUCUAUGAGUUGUAAACUGCUUUUGUACAAGGGUAAACCUGAAUACGUGUAUUCUGCUGAAAGUACUGUACGAAUAAGGAUCGGGUAACUCCGUGCCAACAGCCGCGCUAAUACGGAGGAUCCAAGCGUUAUCCGGAUUUAUUGGGUUUAACGGGUGCGGAUGCGGAUUGAUAAGGUAGAGGUGAAAUGUCCGCGCCUAACUCGGGAACUGCCUCUAAUACUGUUGAUCUAGAGAGUAGAUGCGGUAAGCGGAAUGUAUGGUGUAGCGGUGAAAUGCUUAGAGAUCAGACAGAACACCGAUUGCGAAGGCAGCUUACCAAUCUAUAUCUGACGUUGAGGCACGAAAGCGUGGGGAGCAAACAGGAUUAGAUACCCUAGUAGUC
RNAcentral lists this ribosomal RNA (460 nucleotides) under uncultured bacterium. RNAcentral's name for it is "partial 16S ribosomal RNA". It matches the Rfam family "Bacterial small subunit ribosomal RNA", at positions 338 to 795 of the family's 1533-position model. The record is from RNAcentral.